UGAAUUUUGUGACCUGUUUGGGCACAUUUUGCUCAAAAGCUUUUGCAGAUCUUAAUGAUGGAGGCUUUCUUGCGUGAGCUGGUGCUGACAGCACAACCAUGAAUCAUCGCUCUUCCACUUUACUCAUCCAGUGCUCUCUACCUCCCGUCUCCCUCCAUGCUCCUUCUCCCCUGCUCCCCUCUCAUUACAGAAGGAUUUCAGGAGCCAACAACAAACCUCUUUUAGAGGAGUAGAUCAAUACACAGACAGCCCUCACAUCUGCUCAUUUCUCUGAUAAAGCCUCACCACUACCAUCAGUACUCACACACAAUGCACACCUCAUAUGAGCUUCUAAUGCCCACUGGUGCCCUAUUUUAAUGAUCUACAUCCACUACACAGAGGAGGAAACCACUGAGGAGCAACAAUAGUUGCACUACUUUUUAUCCCAAAAUGUCUUGUUUCCCAGAAAAAAUAUAUAAACAUAAUAAGACUGGUUUUCAGUGAUUAUCUCACUCUUGAUUUUAUUGUUUUUGGUGAAUUUUGUCUUGUUUUAAGCAUUGUGCUUAAAAGUGUAGCCUCUUUAUUGCAUAUUAUAGUCAGGCUGACUGAAAGUAUUUACAUAAUUAUACCAAGUUUCAGGCGUAAACAAGCCAUCUUUUUAAUUAGACAGCAGCUAUGUGCAAAUAGUGAUAGAUGCUAUUUACACUAAGGGUAAUGCGUCUUGGCUGACCACUUGUGAUUGGAAAAUGCAUCUUUUAAUACCAGGUGGAAACAGGCUUACUCUCUCGCUCUCUUUAUUUCUGGUAUAAUGUAUAUAAUUUGCGGGCGUCAGUGAGCUGCUAGUAAUAUGCGGGAGAUUCCUGGACCUACUGGGAGAGGGGGGAUGCUGUCAUUGUAUUGUAGUAUAUUAUAAAACAGUAUGCAAUAAAAAUUACAUAUUCAGUG
Ctenopharyngodon idella (grass carp) is the source of this 924-nucleotide long non-coding RNA. RefSeq lists it as uncharacterized. The transcript is spliced from 2 exons. NCBI's taxonomy places the organism in Eukaryota, Metazoa, Chordata, Actinopteri, Cypriniformes, Xenocyprididae. The record is from RefSeq and is a predicted model, not a curated record.